UGGGGAAUUUUGGACAAUGGGCGAAAGCCUGAUCCAGCAAUGCCGCGUGUGUGAAGAAGGCCUUCGGGUUGUAAAGCACUUUUGUCCGGAAAGAAAUCCUUGGCUCUAAUACAGUCGGGGGAUGACGGUACCGGAAGAAUAAGCACCGGCUAACUACGUGCCAGCAGCCGCGGUAAUACGUAGGGUGCAAGCGUUAGUCGGAAUUACUGGGCGUAAAGCGUGCGCAGGCGGUUUGCUAAGACCGAUGUGAAAUCCCCGGGCUCAACCUAGGGAACUGCAUUGGUGACUGGCAGGCUAGAGUAUGGCAGAGGGGGGUAGAAUUCCACGUGUAGCAGUGAAAAUGCGUAGAGAUGUGGAGGAAUACCGAUGGCGAAGGCAGCCCCCUGGGCCAAUACUGACGCUCAUGCACGAAAAGCGUGGGGAGCAAAACAGGAUUAGAUACCCUGGUAGUCCACGCCCUAAAACGAUGUCAACUAGUUGUUGGGGAUUCAUUUCCUUAGUAACGUAGCUAACGCGUGAAGUUGACCGCCUGGGGAGUAACGGUCGC
This 547-nucleotide ribosomal RNA is filed under the name uncultured bacterium. RNAcentral describes it as "partial 16S ribosomal RNA". It matches the Rfam family "Bacterial small subunit ribosomal RNA", at positions 355 to 889 of the family's 1533-position model. The record is from RNAcentral.